This 2898-nucleotide ribosomal RNA is filed under the name Klebsiella pneumoniae. RNAcentral describes it as "bacterial LSU rRNA". It matches the Rfam family "Bacterial large subunit ribosomal RNA". The record is from RNAcentral. Lineage: Bacteria; Pseudomonadati; Pseudomonadota; Gammaproteobacteria; Enterobacterales; Enterobacteriaceae.
UAAGCGACUAAGCGUACACGGUGGAUGCCCUGGCAGUCAGAGGCGAUGAAGGACGUGCUAAUCUGCGAAAAGCGUCGGUAAGGUGAUAUGAACCGUUAUAACCGGCGAUGUCCGAAUGGGGAAACCCAGUGCAAUUCGUUGCACUAUCGUUAACUGAAUACAUAGGUUAACGAGGCGAACCGGGGGAACUGAAACAUCUAAGUACCCCGAGGAAAAGAAAUCAACCGAGAUUCCCCCAGUAGCGGCGAGCGAACGGGGAGCAGCCCAGAGUCUGAAUCAGCUUGUGUGUUAGUGGAACGGUCUGGAAAGUCCGACGGUACAGGGUGAUAGUCCCGUACACCAAAAUGCACAGGUUGUGAACUCGAAGAGUAGGGCGGGACACGUGGUAUCCUGUCUGAAUAUGGGGGGACCAUCCUCCAAGGCUAAAUACUCCUGACUGACCGAUAGUGAACCAGUACCGUGAGGGAAAGGCGAAAAGAACCCCGGCGAGGGGAGUGAAAAAGAACCUGAAACCGUGUACGUACAAGCAGUGGGAGCACCUUCGGGUGUGACUGCGUACCUUUUGUAUAAUGGGUCAGCGACUUAUAUUCUGUAGCAAGGUUAACCGUAUAGGGGAGCCGCAGGGAAACCGAGUCUUAACUGGGCGUUAAGUUGCAGGGUAUAGACCCGAAACCCGGUGAUCUAGCCAUGGGCAGGUUGAAGGUUGGGUAACACUAACUGGAGGACCGAACCGACUAAUGUUGAAAAAUUAGCGGAUGACUUGUGGCUGGGGGUGAAAGGCCAAUCAAACCGGGAGAUAGCUGGUUCUCCCCGAAAGCUAUUUAGGUAGCGCCUCGUGAACUCAUCUUCGGGGGUAGAGCACUGUUUCGGCUAGGGGGUCAUCCCGACUUACCAACCCGAUGCAAACUACGAAUACCGAAGAAUGUUAUCACGGGAGACACACGGCGGGUGCUAACGUCCGUCGUGAAGAGGGAAACAACCCAGACCGCCAGCUAAGGUCCCAAAGUCAUGGUUAAGUGGGAAACGAUGUGGGAAGGCACAGACAGCCAGGAUGUUGGCUUAGAAGCAGCCAUCAUUUAAAGAAAGCGUAAUAGCUCACUGGUCGAGUCGGCCUGCGCGGAAGAUGUAACGGGGCUAAACCAUGCACCGAAGCUGCGGCAGCGACACUAUGUGUUGUUGGGUAGGGGAGCGUUCUGUAAGCCUGCGAAGGUGUGCUGUGAGGCAUGCUGGAGGUAUCAGAAGUGCGAAUGCUGACAUAAGUAACGAUAAAGCGGGUGAAAAGCCCGCUCGCCGGAAGACCAAGGGUUCCUGUCCAACGUUAAUCGGGGCAGGGUGAGUCGACCCCUAAGGCGAGGCCGAAAGGCGUAGUCGAUGGGAAACAGGUUAAUAUUCCUGUACUUGGUGUUACUGCGAAGGGGGGACGGAGAAGGCUAUGUUAGCCGGGCGACGGUUGUCCCGGUUUAAGCAUGUAGGCUGGUUAUCCAGGCAAAUCCGGAUAAUCAAGGCUGAGGUGUGAUGACGAGGCACUACGGUGCUGAAGUAACAAAUGCCCUGCUUCCAGGAAAAGCCUCUAAGCAUCAGGUAACAUCAAAUCGUACCCCAAACCGACACAGGUGGUCAGGUAGAGAAUACCAAGGCGCUUGAGAGAACUCGGGUGAAGGAACUAGGCAAAAUGGUGCCGUAACUUCGGGAGAAGGCACGCUGGUGUGUAGGUGAAGUCCCUGCGGAUGGAGCUGAGACCAGUCGAAGAUACCAGCUGGCUGCAACUGUUUAUUAAAAACACAGCACUGUGCAAACACGAAAGUGGACGUAUACGGUGUGACGCCUGCCCGGUGCCGGAAGGUUAAUUGAUGGGGUUAUCCGUAAGGAGAAGCUCUUGAUCGAAGCCCCGGUAAACGGCGGCCGUAACUAUAACGGUCCUAAGGUAGCGAAAUUCCUUGUCGGGUAAGUUCCGACCUGCACGAAUGGCGUAAUGAUGGCCAGGCUGUCUCCACCCGAGACUCAGUGAAAUUGAACUCGCUGUGAAGAUGCAGUGUACCCGCGGCAAGACGGAAAGACCCCGUGAACCUUUACUAUAGCUUGACACUGAACAUUGAGCCUUGAUGUGUAGGAUAGGUGGGAGGCUUUGAAGCGUGGACGCCAGUCUGCGUGGAGCCAACCUUGAAAUACCACCCUUUAAUGUUUGAUGUUCUAACGUUGGCCCCUGACCGGGGUUGCGGACAGUGUCUGGUGGGUAGUUUGACUGGGGCGGUCUCCUCCCAAAGCGUAACGGAGGAGCACGAAGGUUAGCUAAUCCUGGUCGGACAUCAGGAGGUUAGUGCAAUGGCAUAAGCUAGCUUGACUGCGAGCGUGACGGCGCGAGCAGGUGCGAAAGCAGGUCAUAGUGAUCCGGUGGUUCUGAAUGGAAGGGCCAUCGCUCAACGGAUAAAAGGUACUCCGGGGAUAACAGGCUGAUACCGCCCAAGAGUUCAUAUCGACGGCGGUGUUUGGCACCUCGAUGUCGGCUCAUCACAUCCUGGGGCUGAAGUAGGUCCCAAGGGUAUGGCUGUUCGCCAUUUAAAGUGGUACGCGAGCUGGGUUUAGAACGUCGUGAGACAGUUCGGUCCCUAUCUGCCGUGGGCGCUGGAGAAUUGAGGGGGGCUGCUCCUAGUACGAGAGGACCGGAGUGGACGCAUCACUGGUGUUCGGGUUGUCAUGCCAAUGGCACUGCCCGGUAGCUAAAUGCGGAAGAGAUAAGUGCUGAAAGCAUCUAAGCACGAAACUUGCCCCGAGAUGAGUUCUCCCUGAGACUAUAAGUCUCCUGAAGGAACGUUAAAGACGAUGACGUUGAUAGGCCGGGUGUGUAAGCGCAGCGAUGCGUUGAGCUAACCGGUACUAAUGAACCGUGAGGCUUAACCU